UUCUUAUUCGCUGACAUUUGUUUUCUAAUUGCUUGAAAUUUGGUAAUUUCCUUAGUGUUUUCCUGGCCGACCUGUGCUGGUAUUGUAAUUAAGAGCUAAUACACCAUUCUCUGGUGAACUGCAGCUGCGGCCGAAUUUGAUUGUGUGCAUCAUCCUGCAGAUAUUUUGAAAUUUUGUGGACGCUUCUGCUGUGCUGCGUUCCUGCUCCGCCCGUGUAUUGCUCCGCCCGUGUUUUAUAGUGUUGCGUCCCAGUUGCGCCUUUGCAUUAGUGUGUGCGUUGUGCUUUAGACACGUUGAAAUUGUUUGUAUGCUUCUGCUGUGCUGCGUUACUGCUUCACCCGUGUAUUAAAUUGCAGCGUUCGUGUUAAUAUAAGCAUCGUCGUUUAAGUACA
Long non-coding RNA from Rhagoletis pomonella (apple maggot), 392 nucleotides. RefSeq lists it as uncharacterized. The record is from RefSeq and is a predicted model, not a curated record. Lineage: Eukaryota; Metazoa; Arthropoda; Insecta; Diptera; Tephritidae. The transcript has 5 exons.